Molecule: ribosomal RNA, 233 nt
Filed under: uncultured bacterium
Lineage: Bacteria
Description: partial 16S ribosomal RNA
Rfam family: Bacterial small subunit ribosomal RNA
Source: RNAcentral
UACGAAGGGGGGCUAGCGUUUGCUCGGAAUCACUGGGGCGUAAAGGGUGCGUAGGCGGGGUCUUUAAGUCAGGGGGUGAAAUCCUGGAGCUCAACUCCAGAACUGCCUUUGAUACUGAAGAUCUUGAGUUCCGGGGAGAGGUGAGUGGAACUGCGAGUGUAGAGGUGAAAUUCGUAGAUAUUCGCAAGAAACACCAGUGGCGAAGGCGGCUCACUGGCCCGAUACUGACGCUG